CCUUCCCUGUCGGCCUUCUCUCCGCCUGGAGGUCCUGCAUAUCUGUGUGCGUAGAAGGUCCCCUCUCCUUCUCCCCGCUGACUUGAGGCAGCAGGAUAACUAGGGUCCCCGCACCUCCUCCCUGCAGACGUGCGCACACCCCAUGGGGUCCCUAUCCACCCCUCGCCUCUGCGCCCCACGUCCUCCGAGUGGCACAUGGCAGGACAAGGCAGUGCCCUGAGGCCCGCGGACCCCACCCGGGCGUCUCUAGCAAGCCCACUGCCAUGCUGGAACUCCAACGAGCUGAUGCCCCAACUCCCGAAGGCUCCACAGGCCUAGUGUGGCUCUCACGGACCUGUGUCCGCUGCCGCCGCGGGUGUGACACCAAGUGGCUUGAGCGGCCUGAGGCCUCGCAAGAGGAGGCGACUACCCAGAGUCUGCGUGACCUGGGAAGGUCGGGUGCCAAGCACUGGACUCGCAGACCAUGUCACUGCAAUCUGCACGCUCUGAACCCCUCUGUCCACUCCUCAGGAAUGACAUCCCCUCUACCUCAGCCCUCAACCCACCCCCUACAGCCUUCCUCUUCCCUGGAUGAGAAGGCAGCUUCUCUGAAUCUUUGGCAGGGGGAUGACCAAGAGUGUAUGAGGCAGGGAGAUGGCCAGGAGUGAGAGUAGGUCCUCAUGGACAAAGGGGGCUGGGGAGAGGGCUCCAUAGUUCAGAUCCACCGCUGUUCUUCCAGGAGAUGAAAAAAUAUAACAUAAAAGCAAAAUUCUAGGCCUUUAGGCCCAGCCUUGAGAAUGUGACCUCUGUGACUCAAUGUUCCAAGGUAUGCUAAUCAUAAAACCAAUAGCAACAUUCCUCCACCCACCCGCUUUUCUGGGUUCAAGGAGUGUUCAUUCAAAGAAAGUCACCCUGACCCACCCUGACCAUUGCUGGAACCCACUAUGCAAAUGUGCUAUUGUUAGGGGCUCUUAGAAACUGUCUUGAGAAAUAAACCUGUACAAUUACCAGGUAUUCCUUGUGACUUUGCACUUCCUUGUGACUCUUAACUGGUAAUUCUGGUAUUUUCCAACAACGCCCUCCCCACCUCCUUGAGUUGUGGUUUCUUCCUUUAAAUACCCCCUUACCCAGCUACUUGGGGCGCCAUGGUCCUCUACCCCUGCAUGGUGUAUGACCGUGGGCCCGAGAGCGCUCUUGAAUAAAAGUCCUCUUGCAGUUUGCAGCAA
This is a long non-coding RNA of Mus musculus (house mouse), 1205 nucleotides long. RefSeq annotates it as predicted gene 10775. NCBI's taxonomy places the organism in Eukaryota, Metazoa, Chordata, Mammalia, Rodentia, Muridae. The transcript has 2 exons. The record is from RefSeq and is marked validated.